Molecule: long non-coding RNA, 220 nt
Organism: Lagopus leucura (white-tailed ptarmigan)
Lineage: Eukaryota; Metazoa; Chordata; Aves; Galliformes; Phasianidae
Exons: 3
Source: RefSeq, a predicted model, not a curated record
AUAAACUGUUGGAUUACCUACAUGAGAGGGAAGAUUCCUGAGCUUGUAGAAUCUGAAUUGAUUCCCUGGCUAGAAAGAUCUUAAACUGUGCUAUGGUCACGUGACUUCUACUUCUCUCUCAACUGGAUACGCUGAGUGGCAAAACAAAUUUCCUGGAAGUAAUCGAGUCAAAAGCAUGCAUAGUGAUUUCAAGAAAUUGCAAAAGCUGAAUGCAGAUGUG